GACGAACGCUUUUGGCGUGCUUAACACAUGCAAGUCGAACGGAAAGGCCCUGCUUUUGUGGGGUGCUCGAGUGGCGAACGGGUGGGUAACACGUGAGUAACCUGCCCUUGACUUUGGGAUAACUUCAGGAAACUGGGGCUAAUACCGGAUAGGAGCUCCUGCUGCAUGGUGGGGGUUGGAAAGUUUCGGCGGUUGGGGAUGGACUCGCGGCUUAUCAGCUUGUUGGUGGGGUAGUGGCUUACCAAGGCUUUGACGGGUAGCCGGCCUGAGAGGGUGACCGGCCACAUUGGGACUGAGAUACGGCCCAGACCCCUACGGGAGGCAGCAGUGGGGAAUAUUGCACAAUGGGCGGAAGCCUGAUGCAGCAACGCCGCGUGCGGGAUGACGGCCUUCGGGUUGUAAACCGCUUUCGCCUGUGACGAAGCGUGAGUGACGGUAAUGGGUAAAGAAGCACCGGCUAACUACGUGCCAGCAGCCGCGGUGAUACGUAGGGUGCGAGCGUUGUCCGGAUUUAUUGGGCGUAAAGGGCUCGUAGGUGGUUGAUCGCGUCGGAAGUGUAAUCUUGGGGCUUAACCCUGAGCGUGCUUUCGAUACGGGUUGACUUGAGGAAGGUAGGGGAGAAUGGAAUUCCUGGUGGAGCGGUGGAAUGCGCGGAUAUCAGGAGGAACACCAGUGGCGAAGGCGGUUCUCUGGGCCUUUCCUGACGCUGAGGAGCGAAAGCGUGGGGAGCGAACAGGCUUAGAUACCCUGGUAGUCCACGCUGUAAACGGUGGGUACUAGGUGUGGGGUCCAUUCCACGGGUUCCGUGCCGUAGCUAACGCUUUAAGUACCCCGCCUGGGGAGUACGGCCGCAAGGCUAAAACUCAAAGGAAUUGACGGGGCCCCGCACAAGCGGCGGAGCAUGCGGAUUAAUUCGAUGCAACGCGUAGAACCUUACCUGGGUUUGACAUGGAUCGGGAGCGCUCAGAGAUGGGUGUGCCUCUUUUGGGGUCGGUUCACAGGUGGUGCAUGGCUGUCGUCAGCUCGUGUCGUGAGAUGUUGGGUUAAGUCCCGCAACGAGCGCAACCCUUGUUCACUGUUGCCAGCACGUUAUGGUGGGGACUCAGUGGAGACCGCCGGGGUCAACUCGGAGGAAGGUGGGGAUGACGUCAAGUCAUCAUGCCCCUUAUGUCCAGGGCUUCACGCAUGCUACAAUGGCUGGUACAGAGAGUGGCGAGCCUGUGAGGGUGAGCGAAUCUCGGAAAGCCGGUCUCAGUUCGGAUUGGGGUCUGCAACUCGACCUCAUGAAGUCGGAGUCGCUAGUAAUCGCAGAUCAGCAACGCUGCGGUGAAUACGUUCCCGGG
This 1343-nucleotide ribosomal RNA is filed under the name uncultured bacterium. RNAcentral's name for it is "16S ribosomal RNA". It matches the Rfam family "Bacterial small subunit ribosomal RNA", at positions 28 to 1378 of the family's 1533-position model. The record is from RNAcentral.